ACUCCUGCGGGAGGCAGCAGUGGGGAAUUUUGGACAAUGGGCGAAAGCCUGAUCCAGCCAUGCCGCGUGCAGGAUGAAGGCCUUCGGGUUGUAAACUGCUUUUGUACGGAACGAAACGGCCUUUUCUAAUAAAGAGGGCUAAUGACGGUACCGUAAGAAUAAGCACCGGCUAACUACGUGCCAGCAGCCGCGGUAAUACGUAGGGUGCAAGCGUUAAUCGGAAUUACUGGGCGUAAAGCGUGCGCAGGCGGUUAUGUAAGACAGUUGUGAAAUCCCCGGGCUCAACCUGGGAACUGCAUCUGUGACGGCAUAGCUAGAGUACGGUAGAGGAGGAGGGAAUUCCGCGUGUAGCAGUGAAAUGCGUAGAUAUGCGGAGGAACACCGAUGGCGAAGGCAAUCCCCUGGACCUGUACUGACGCUCAUGCACGAAAGCGUGGGGAGCAAACAGGAUUAGAAACCCGUGUAGUCC
RNAcentral lists this ribosomal RNA (469 nucleotides) under uncultured organism. RNAcentral's name for it is "partial 16S ribosomal RNA". It matches the Rfam family "Bacterial small subunit ribosomal RNA", at positions 335 to 796 of the family's 1533-position model. The record is from RNAcentral.